Molecule: long non-coding RNA, 228 nt
Filed under: Nicotiana benthamiana
Lineage: Eukaryota; Viridiplantae; Streptophyta; Magnoliopsida; Solanales; Solanaceae
Description: long non-coding RNA (NBEN_LNC000842)
Source: RNAcentral
CCCCAGGGACAUCAGAAGAAUAUACAAAGAGGGGACUGGUAGAAUCUAUCGAAGCAGAGGCAGCAGUAUUCGUAUUGGAAGCCAUAAUCACACCGGAUAUUCACACACAAACCAGAUAUUCACACACAAAACCAGGUAUUCACACAGAAAACCAGAUACUCACCCACUGAGCCAGAUAAUCACACAGAAAGCAUACAAUACUCAAGAUAAGGAAAGAGUUACCCUCCU